AAGCACCUACGGGACGCAGCAGUGAGGAAUAUUGGUCAAUGGGCGCGAGCCUGAACCAGCCAAGUAGCGUGAAGGAUGACUGCCCUACGGGUUGUAAACUUCUUUUAUAAAGGAAUAAAGUGAGGCACGUGUGCCUUUUUGUAUGUACUUUAUGAAUAGGGAUCGGCUAACUCCGUGCCAGCAGCCGCGGUAAUACGGAGGAUCCGAGCGUUAUCCGGAUUUAUUGGGUUUAAAGGGAGCGUAGAUGGGUUGUUAAGUCAGUUGUGAACGUUUGCGGCUCAACCGUAACAUUGCAAUUGAUACUG
RNAcentral lists this ribosomal RNA (305 nucleotides) under uncultured bacterium. Its description in RNAcentral is "bacterial SSU rRNA". It matches the Rfam family "Bacterial small subunit ribosomal RNA", at positions 333 to 635 of the family's 1533-position model. The record is from RNAcentral.